UACAGAGGGUGCGAGCGUUAAUCGGAAUUACUGGGCGUAAAGCGUGCGUAGACGGUUAUUUAAGUCGGGUGUGAAAGCCCCGGGCUCAACCUGGGAAUUGCAUUCGAGACUGAAUAGCUAGGGUACGGUAGAGGGAAGCGGAAUUUCCGGUGUAGCGGUGAAAUGCGUAGAUAUCGGAAGGAACAUCAGUGGCGAAGGCGGCAUCCUGGACCGACAUUGACGCUGAGGAGCGAAAGCUAGGGGAGCAAACGGG
Molecule: ribosomal RNA, 253 nt
Filed under: uncultured bacterium
Lineage: Bacteria
Description: partial 16S ribosomal RNA
Rfam family: Bacterial small subunit ribosomal RNA
Source: RNAcentral